Armigeres subalbatus is the source of this 697-nucleotide long non-coding RNA. RefSeq lists it as uncharacterized. The transcript is spliced from 3 exons. Lineage: Eukaryota; Metazoa; Arthropoda; Insecta; Diptera; Culicidae. The record is from RefSeq and is a predicted model, not a curated record.
GGUUGCAAAUGGUUUUUUCCAAAACUUAUAUUAUUUAUUAUAUUCAAUUAAGUAAAUACCAGAAAAGAGAACAUUAAAAUCGUUGUCGAUUUACGGUCAAUUAGUGCUGGUAUUGAAUCAGUCGCGAAAACAUGGGGGUCAUUACUUCGACAGACGGAUCCCAUGAUUAUACUAAAGAAGCAGGAUCAUGGAUCAAGUACUGCACUGGCCUGGGAGGAGUGUGAUCAUCAAUACGGUUCAUUUCCCAGCCGAUUCAACGAUCCGCAUGAUGUGUAAGCCAGCGGUACUCGGAACGGAAUCAGCAUCCGUUGCAAUCGGGAGCAGCCAACACCGUGAAACGUCAACUUCAUGGGUAUUUGCCGGUGCAAUUGCUGCUAGUACUGUCUUUGAUUUACUGUUUAUCAAUAUGGCCAGCAGAUUUCCAGCUAUCUAUCCAUUAACCAGCUGGUGCCACAAGAACCCCCCGGAAUAAACACCGAAGAGGAACGGCAUAACGAAAACCGGUUAAUGAUGCGAUACAAAGGCUAUCUCAAGCAAGAUUUUUUCGGAACACCAAAAUAUAGUUGCUUCCUUUAAACGUCGCCAAGUUAGGAUGGCUAGUGUACUCCUCAAAGAUCCCAGCAGCAGCGCAAAAUCCACAGCGGACCACAUCUCAUCAGCCCAUUAGCUCUCCCACAGCCGUUACUAAAACCGCAUC